CCGAAAGGCAGGAGUGCCUGCAAGGGAGCGCGGAGACAGGUGGUGCAUGGCUGUCGUCAGCUCGUGUCGUGAGAUGUUGGGUUAAGUCCCGCAACGAGCGCAACCCUCACCUCUUGUUGCCAUCAGGUCAUGCUGGGCACUCUAGAGGAACUGCCCCGGUCAACGGGGAGGAAGGCGGGGAUGACGUCAAGUCAUCAAGCCCCUUACGUCCUGGGCUACACACGUGCUACAAUGGCCGGUACAAAGGGAUGCCACACCGCGAGGUAGAGCUAAACCCAAAAAGCCGGUCUAAGUUCGGAUUGGAGUCUGCAACUCGACUCCAUGAAGGAGGAAUCGCUAGUAAUCGCGUAUCAGCACGACGCGGUGAAUACGUUCCCGGGCCUUGUACACACCGCCCGUCACACCACGAAAGCCAG
RNAcentral lists this ribosomal RNA (416 nucleotides) under uncultured bacterium. RNAcentral's name for it is "bacterial SSU rRNA". It matches the Rfam family "Bacterial small subunit ribosomal RNA", at positions 1001 to 1414 of the family's 1533-position model. The record is from RNAcentral.